UCGGUGGUAAUGGAAUAUACACAGUAGUUCAGUUGAAUUUAUAUUCAUCAAAUUGAAAUCUCCAAUUACUGUGUAUGUUGUUUCAUGAAUGUGAGAAGAUGAGAAUCACUGCCAAUGUCGUAGUUCAUAAAGAUGCUUGAAACACAGUAAGGUGCAAUGCAAUUCAUUGCUAUUAAAGUCUUAUUAGGUAUCUCAUCCGGGUGUGACAAUCGAUUGAGAUGGGUGUUAAUGAUAGAAGUUACAGUAUGCUGCUUACUUCAACCAUGUUCUUUAAGUUUUGCCCUGCACAUUUUUGUCUUCCAUAACACUUCUCAACAUGAUUCAACUUUGAUACAUAGAUGAUGGUCUCAUCUUUAGAUUUUAUCAGCAAAUCGCCAUACAGAGAGUCCCAAAAUAAUGCCAAAAUCAAAUUCAAACCGAAUUUGAUUAAUAAAGCAUUCAACUACUUAGGUUGAUUAAUAAACAUAAUAAAGCAUUGAUCAGGAAAAUAAAUAAAUUAGUAAUACGUGUUAUUUGUACAAUUGAUCUUAGGAUUCUUAAUUGUUCCUCUUGAUUUAAAUUAUGCAAGGUAGAAGAAUUCUUCUGGAUGGUGUAUCUUUGUAAAAUUAGCUCCUCCUCCUCCUCCUCCUCCUCCUCACGUUCUGCUCAAUAAAUCACAAAUCAACAGACGAUGGGAAGAGCUAAUUUUUCAUCUGGCAUUGUAGUCCAGAAGAAGAAGUCAGGACACAUCAAGAAUCUCCCGUACGAGAUCUUGUUAGACAUUCUUUCUCGGUUACCAGUUGAGUCUGUUUUGGAGUGCAAAUUAGUAUGCAAAGGGUUGCUAAAGCUCCUCCAUAGUAGAACAAGUUUCUUCAAAAAUAUACAUGUUACCCGCCAGCUUAACCAACUGCAUGGCAGUGCUGCUCAUGGUGAUAAGUUGGACAUGGGCUUCCUUUUUUGUUGUACAAUAAGUGACAGCCCGCACGGGCUACUUUUCUAUGGAGGAUUGUACAAUGAUAAGAUCAAUACUGAUCAUUUGUACGAGUAUAAGAAGACACUAAAAAAGGUCAGACAUCCUCCAAUGCACUUUCAAUCGCCGCAACAAUGUUUGGUUAAUUCAUGCAACGGGUUGAUAUGUCUUGGUAUAAAACACCACCGAUGCGUUGAUCCCACCUACAUAUACAAUCCGGCCACAGGAGAGUAUGUUAGUCUUCCAAAAUUGAUUGUACCUCCAGGAAGUAGUUUUCCUCGCAUUGCCCGAGGGUUUGGAUAGAUUCCUUCUACUAAUGAAUACAAGGUAGUUAGAAUUUUUUACCCUGAUCUUCAAACAACUGGACAGGUCCAAGUAUACACACUUGGUAGUGGUUGCGGGUGGAGCACAAAACGUACACCAAUCCCGUGGGUCUUUUUUGAACCGCCGGCUUGUUUUGCGGAUGGAAUUUUAUAUUGGUACGACUAUACAAAAAUUUAUGGAUUUGAUUUAGCUAAUGAAGAGUUGCAAAUUCUCUCAUCUCCAUGGUCUUUGAAGAAGACAGAUACGAAAGACAGCUGGUGCAAAGACUUCAGUAUUGUAUACGAGAAGCAAGAAGCAUUAGAUGAUGAUUAUUUUUGUCCGAUAAUGAUUACAAAGAAAAAUGGAAUCAUAUUUAUGAGGGAAUUCAACACUAUCGAGUGUUACGACACUAAAACCACAACUUGGAAAGAGAUAGUGGCCGAAGAUUUUCAAUUUUAUCUUGAGGAUAUCUCGGUAGUUUCCCAUGUGAACACUUUUGUUUCCAUAAGAUCAUUGGGAGAGAAGUCGAACAAGAAAAGUUGCAGAAAUAAGAUGUUUGGUCAACUCAGUGUAACGUAGUAAGUGUUUGUUGUGACAAGAGGCCUACUUAGUGGAGGAUGAGGAUCAAUUUUUUGAAUAUUUAUACUUUCUAAGGAAUUUUAUCCCUAACCCGAGAACUGUUGAAAUCCUUUUUGUUCUUCUUUGCUCCAAUCUUCUCUUUGAACCUUUUGGUCAAGACAAUACAUUAGAAAUGUUCAAUUUAUUUUCUCAGAAGACUUUGGUACUGAAGGACAAGGAGGGUAAGCCAAGCUUUUGAACUGGCCUGAACUGGUUAUGUUCUCCUAAUAGUAGUUUGUGAUCAUUUUCCAUGUUUCUGUCUGUUCAUGUACUUCGACAGUUAUGGGAUUAGAGGAGACAGUAGGCAGAACCAUCUGCUUCAAAUACUAACCCUAUUUGCCAUGGAGACUCCUCUCAGUUUGGAUGCUGAAGACAUCAGAAAUGAAAAGGUGCUAAUUCACAAUAACCUUUGCUUUUACAAUAUGGAGUGGUCGUAUUUUCUCGCUGUUAACUUUCCUGGUAUUUAUUAAGUGAAAGUUCAUGCUCAACGAAGCCUUUGCAACUCGACAACAUGGUGGUUGGGCAGUAUAAGAGUCACACUAAGGGGAGGAUUAGCUAUUCAGGCUACCCAGCAGCCUACAAUGUUUGAAAUGUGUUUACAAGCACAGAGGCUAAUAAAAUCAUGGCUGAAAUUGUGUUGGCUACCUUAAUAAAUGAUAGGAUGUCUGCUCGGAGGCUACUGCUUUUGGUAACAAUACUGCAGUUAUUAGUUGUGUUUACUUGUUAGAUUAUCAGAUUCUUCAUACAAAACAUAUAGUGAGCCUAAGAAGAUUAUGUUGGAGUAUAACCUAGGAAGAUUUUUACUAAUUGCUAUCCACGGUCGGGAGUCUUAAGAAAUCAUAUUUUUAAAAUGCACACCUUAUAAGUGUCAUUGUAUCUGCUGCACCUUUUUCUCAAGGGUUGACAUGUCCCCUGUUACAUAUGGUUGUGCGUCUCCCUUAAGUUUUUUGAGCUUUUAAAAUCUGCUAUUCCCCCACUGUAAUGCACACAUACUGUAUGUUCAAUUAAAGCUGAAAUGGCAUUCUUGAAAUGGUUCUCUCUCCGCAGAGCAGACAUCAGGGUACAGUUCAGGCAUGUUCCUGAUAAUUUGUACAAGAAUUUUAUUUGAAAAUCCACAACAAAGUCCCUGGUUUGGGUAUGAAGUUGGACCGCAGUAAUCUGAACCUUCGUUAUGCAGCAAGAUACUCCAAGGAGAUUCCAGAUGUUUAUGACAGACUGUUGCUUGAUGCAAUUGAAGGAGAACGACGGUUAUUCAUCAGGAGUGACGAACUGGAUGUUGCACGAGCCUCUUCACAACUCUGCUGUAAGAGCUAGAGGAGAAGCUCCACCUCGUAGAUCCCAAGGACGCCUUUAGCAUCCAAAGAUAGUCCCCGAGUUGUAUCCUUAUGGUAAUCGAGGACCUGUUGGCGCACAUUAUCUUACAGCUAAAUACAUUGUUCGAUGGGGCGAUAUAUCAGUAGUGCAGACUACCAGCAACAGUGAAUUAGUGGUUAAGGCCACAAAAUUUCAAACUAAAUGUAUUUUCAGCGAUGGACAUGAUCAUCAUUUUCUCUCAGAAAACAUAGUAGUUAUUCAUAACAUUCAAAUGGGAUAAAGUGGAAUGAAAAUACAGGUUGAA
This is a long non-coding RNA of Papaver somniferum (opium poppy), 3488 nucleotides long. RefSeq lists it as uncharacterized. The transcript is spliced from 3 exons. The record is from RefSeq and is a predicted model, not a curated record. Lineage: Eukaryota; Viridiplantae; Streptophyta; Magnoliopsida; Ranunculales; Papaveraceae.